Molecule: unclassified non-coding RNA, 701 nt
Filed under: Hevea brasiliensis (rubber tree)
Lineage: Eukaryota; Viridiplantae; Streptophyta; Magnoliopsida; Malpighiales; Euphorbiaceae
Source: RNAcentral
AUUCUUUCUGGGAAAGCAUUGGCCUAUCUGGAGCACGCGCUCAAAACCAAAUCAGGCAAUCCUGACGCCAGAAUCGCUGAUUAUUUCGACGUCGCGGCCGGGACAGGAAUAGGCGGCAUCUUUACGGCCAUGCUUUUUGGCAGUAAAGAUCAUAACCGUCCGAUUAUGAAAGCAGAUGACACUUGGAGGUUUUUAGCUGAUCAUGGCAGGAAAAUUUACCGUUCUGGUAAUGGCAGUGGAGGAGGUGGUGGAAAUGGUCGUGGUAGCGGCGGAGGCGGCGGGGGUGUUCUAAAGCGGUUAUUUAAAGGCGGUUCCAGUACGACCGCCGCCACAUCCUGUCUAGAGAAAGCCAUGAAAGAAAUGUUUACGGAAGAAGGCCGAAGCUUAACUCUUAAAGAUACGUUAAAGCCGGUUCUAAUCCCAUGCUAUGAUCUUUCAAGCACGGCGCCGUUUCUGUUCUCAAGAGCCGAUGCAUUAGAAACCGAUAGUUUUGAUUUCAGGCUCUGGGAAGUCUGCCGGGCGACAUCAGCCGAACCGGUUUUAUUCGAGCCGAUUCAAAUGCUGUCCGUUGAUGGUCAGACCAAGUGUCUAGCGGUUGACGGCGGUUUGGCUAUGAGCAAUCCAGCAUCUGCAGCAAUUACGCACGUGCUGCAUAACAAGCAAGAGUUUCCGUUCGUGAGAGGAGUGGAAGAUUUAUUAGU